This 251-nucleotide ribosomal RNA is filed under the name Alexandrium margalefii. RNAcentral describes it as "partial Bacterial large subunit ribosomal RNA". It matches the Rfam family "Bacterial large subunit ribosomal RNA", at positions 1690 to 1945 of the family's 2925-position model. Lineage: Eukaryota; Dinophyceae; Gonyaulacales; Pyrocystaceae. The record is from RNAcentral.
UUGAGAGAAGUAUCCUGAAGGAACUCGGCAAAUUACCUCCGUAACUUCGGGAGAAGGAGGCCCUGUCAGAAGGCAACUUUUGGCAGGGGGCACAAGCUGGGGGGUAGCGACUGUUUAGCAAAAACACAGGACUCUGCUAAGUCGGCUUCAAGACGACGUAUAGGGUCUGACGCCUGCCCGGUGCUCGAAGGUUAAGAGGAGGAGUGCAAGCUCUGAAUUGAAGCCCGAGUAAACGGCGGCCGUAACAAUAA